This 224-nucleotide ribosomal RNA is filed under the name uncultured bacterium. RNAcentral's name for it is "partial 16S ribosomal RNA". It matches the Rfam family "Bacterial small subunit ribosomal RNA", at positions 109 to 334 of the family's 1533-position model. The record is from RNAcentral.
AGUAACGCGUGGAUAACCUGCCUCACACUGGGGGAUAACAGUUAGAAAUGACUGCUAAUACCGCAUAAGCGCACAGUACCGCAUGGUACAGUGUGAAAAACUCCGGUGGUGUGAGAUGGAUCCGCGUCUGAUUAGCCAGUUGGCGGGUAACGGCCCACCAAAGCGACGAUCAGUAGCCGACCUGAGAGGGUGACCGGCCACAUUGGGACUGAGACACGGCCCAA